AGAUUGAACGCUGGCGGCAGGCCUAACACAUGCAAGUCGAGCGGGGGUAGCAAUACCCUAGCGGCGAACGGGUGAGGAAUGCUUGGGAAUCUGCCUCGUAGUGGGGGAUAACGUUCCGAAAGGAACGCUAAUACCGCAUACGUCCUACGGGAGAAAGGGGGGGAUCUUCGGACCUCUCGCUAUGAGAUGAGCCCAAGCGGGAUUAGCUAGUUGGUGAGGUAAGCUCACCAGGCUACGAUCCCUAGUUGGUCUGAGAGGAUGAUCAGCCACACGUAGGAACUGAGACGACGGUCCAGUACCUACCGUACGGGAGGCAGUCGAGGUAGGGAA
This 330-nucleotide ribosomal RNA is filed under the name uncultured soil bacterium. Its description in RNAcentral is "bacterial SSU rRNA". It matches the Rfam family "Bacterial small subunit ribosomal RNA", at positions 26 to 361 of the family's 1533-position model. The record is from RNAcentral.